Molecule: ribosomal RNA, 484 nt
Filed under: uncultured bacterium
Lineage: Bacteria
Description: partial 16S ribosomal RNA
Rfam family: Bacterial small subunit ribosomal RNA
Source: RNAcentral
AUUGAACGCUGGCGGCAGGCCUAACACAUGCAAGUCGAGCGGAUGAAGGGAGCUUGCUCCUGGAUUCAGCGGCGGACGGGUGAGUAAUGCCUAGGAAUCUGCCUGGUAGUGGGGGAUAACGUCCGGAAACGGGCGCUAAUACCGCAUACGUCCUGCGGGAGAAAGUGGGGGAUCUUCGGACCUCACGCUAUCAGAUGAGCCUAGGUCGGAUUAGCUAGUUGGUGGGUUAAAGGCCUACCAAGGCGACGAUCCGUAACUGGUCUGAGAGGAUGAUCAGUCACACUGGAACUGAGACACGGUCCAGACUCCUACGGGAGGCAGCAGUGGGGAAUAUUGGACAAUGGGCGAAAGCCUGAUCCAGCCAUGCCGCGUGUGUGAAGAAGGUCUUCGGAUUGUAAAGCACUUUAAGUUGGGAGGAAGGGCAGUAAGUUAAUACCUUGCUGUUUUGACGUUACCAACAGAAUAAGCACCGGCUAACUUCGUG